AACCCGACUACAUGAAGCUGGAAUCGCUAGUAAUCGCGAAUCAGCAUGUCGCGGUGAAUACGUUCCCGGGUCUUGUACACACCGCCCGUCACACCAUGGGAGUUGGAAAUGCCCGAAGUCAGUGACCCAACCGAAAGGAGGGAGCUGCCGAAGGCAGGUUCGAUAACUGGGGUGAAGUCGUAACAAGGUAUC
RNAcentral lists this ribosomal RNA (192 nucleotides) under uncultured bacterium. RNAcentral's name for it is "partial 16S ribosomal RNA". It matches the Rfam family "Bacterial small subunit ribosomal RNA", at positions 1309 to 1500 of the family's 1533-position model. The record is from RNAcentral.